GGCCACUUCACGUUGAAACACCGGUUCUCGUACUAUCACUGAAGUUAAGCGACGUCGAAUCUGGUCAGUAACUAGAUGGGUAACCGCUUGGGAAUAUCACGUGUUGUAAG
This is a non-coding RNA of Acanthosepion pharaonis, 110 nucleotides long. The record is from the annotation of a GenBank genome assembly. NCBI's taxonomy places the organism in Eukaryota, Metazoa, Mollusca, Cephalopoda, Sepiida, Sepiidae.